UACGUAGGGGGCGAGCGUUGUCCGGAUUCAUUGGGCGUAAAGCGCGCGUAGGCGGCUUCGUAAGUCGGCCGUGAAAUCUCCAGGCUUAACUUGGAGGGGUCGGGCGAGACUGCGGAGCUCGAGGUGGGCAGAGGGCAGUGGAAUUCCGGGUGUAGUGGUGGAAUGCGUAGAGAUCCGGAGGAACACCAGUGGCGAAGGCGGCGUCCUGGACCAACACUGACACUGAUGAGCGAAAGCCAGGGGAGCAAACGGG
Molecule: ribosomal RNA, 253 nt
Filed under: uncultured bacterium
Lineage: Bacteria
Description: partial 16S ribosomal RNA
Rfam family: Bacterial small subunit ribosomal RNA
Source: RNAcentral